RNAcentral lists this unclassified non-coding RNA (200 nucleotides) under Mortierellales sp. Its description in RNAcentral is "partial internal transcribed spacer 2". The record is from RNAcentral. Lineage: Eukaryota; Fungi; Mortierellomycota.
UUAAGUUCAGCGGGUAGUCUUGCUUGAUUUGAGAUCGAGUUUACAAAAUGGGUUUUUGACGUCCACUCUGUGAAUCCUGCAUCAGUCAGCCAUAUGGAAAUACAACCUUAGAGUAGCUUUAGCAAAAUGAAUAAUCUGUUUUACGAGACUAAAUAGAUAUGCUUAUAGCUCAGUUGUAAGUCCAGCUGCACCUGCAUUUC